Molecule: ribosomal RNA, 2923 nt
Filed under: Klebsiella pneumoniae
Lineage: Bacteria; Pseudomonadati; Pseudomonadota; Gammaproteobacteria; Enterobacterales; Enterobacteriaceae
Also listed under: 1 other name
Description: bacterial LSU rRNA
Rfam family: Bacterial large subunit ribosomal RNA
Source: RNAcentral
GGGUUGUGAGGUUAAGCGACUAAGCGUACACGGUGGAUGCCCUGGCAGUCAGAGGCGAUGAAGGACGUGCUAAUCUGCGAAAAGCGUCGGUAAGGUGAUAUGAACCGUUAUAACCGGCGAUGUCCGAAUGGGGAAACCCAGUGCAAUUCGUUGCACUAUCGUUAACUGAAUACAUAGGUUAACGAGGCGAACCGGGGGAACUGAAACAUCUAAGUACCCCGAGGAAAAGAAAUCAACCGAGAUUCCCCCAGUAGCGGCGAGCGAACGGGGAGCAGCCCAGAGUCUGAAUCAGCUUGUGUGUUAGUGGAACGGUCUGGAAAGUCCGACGGUACAGGGUGAUAGUCCCGUACACCAAAAUGCACAGGUUGUGAACUCGAAGAGUAGGGCGGGACACGUGGUAUCCUGUCUGAAUAUGGGGGGACCAUCCUCCAAGGCUAAAUACUCCUGACUGACCGAUAGUGAACCAGUACCGUGAGGGAAAGGCGAAAAGAACCCCGGCGAGGGGAGUGAAAAAGAACCUGAAACCGUGUACGUACAAGCAGUGGGAGCACCUUCGGGUGUGACUGCGUACCUUUUGUAUAAUGGGUCAGCGACUUAUAUUCUGUAGCAAGGUUAACCGUAUAGGGGAGCCGCAGGGAAACCGAGUCUUAACUGGGCGUUAAGUUGCAGGGUAUAGACCCGAAACCCGGUGAUCUAGCCAUGGGCAGGUUGAAGGUUGGGUAACACUAACUGGAGGACCGAACCGACUAAUGUUGAAAAAUUAGCGGAUGACUUGUGGCUGGGGGUGAAAGGCCAAUCAAACCGGGAGAUAGCUGGUUCUCCCCGAAAGCUAUUUAGGUAGCGCCUCGUGAACUCAUCUUCGGGGGUAGAGCACUGUUUCGGCUAGGGGGUCAUCCCGACUUACCAACCCGAUGCAAACUACGAAUACCGAAGAAUGUUAUCACGGGAGACACACGGCGGGUGCUAACGUCCGUCGUGAAGAGGGAAACAACCCAGACCGCCAGCUAAGGUCCCAAAGUCAUGGUUAAGUGGGAAACGAUGUGGGAAGGCACAGACAGCCAGGAUGUUGGCUUAGAAGCAGCCAUCAUUUAAAGAAAGCGUAAUAGCUCACUGGUCGAGUCGGCCUGCGCGGAAGAUGUAACGGGGCUAAACCAUGCACCGAAGCUGCGGCAGCGACACUAUGUGUUGUUGGGUAGGGGAGCGUUCUGUAAGCCUGCGAAGGUGUGCUGUGAGGCAUGCUGGAGGUAUCAGAAGUGCGAAUGCUGACAUAAGUAACGAUAAAGCGGGUGAAAAGCCCGCUCGCCGGAAGACCAAGGGUUCCUGUCCAACGUUAAUCGGGGCAGGGUGAGUCGACCCCUAAGGCGAGGCCGAAAGGCGUAGUCGAUGGGAAACAGGUUAAUAUUCCUGUACUUGGUGUUACUGCGAAGGGGGGACGGAGAAGGCUAUGUUAGCCGGGCGACGGUUGUCCCGGUUUAAGCAUGUAGGCUGGUUAUCCAGGCAAAUCCGGAUAAUCAAGGCUGAGGUGUGAUGACGAGGCACUACGGUGCUGAAGUAACAAAUGCCCUGCUUCCAGGAAAAGCCUCUAAGCAUCAGGUAACAUCAAAUCGUACCCCAAACCGACACAGGUGGUCAGGUAGAGAAUACCAAGGCGCUUGAGAGAACUCGGGUGAAGGAACUAGGCAAAAUGGUGCCGUAACUUCGGGAGAAGGCACGCUGGUGUGUAGGUGAAGUCCCUGCGGAUGGAGCUGAGACCAGUCGAAGAUACCAGCUGGCUGCAACUGUUUAUUAAAAACACAGCACUGUGCAAACACGAAAGUGGACGUAUACGGUGUGACGCCUGCCCGGUGCCGGAAGGUUAAUUGAUGGGGUUAUCCGUAAGGAGAAGCUCUUGAUCGAAGCCCCGGUAAACGGCGGCCGUAACUAUAACGGUCCUAAGGUAGCGAAAUUCCUUGUCGGGUAAGUUCCGACCUGCACGAAUGGCGUAAUGAUGGCCAGGCUGUCUCCACCCGAGACUCAGUGAAAUUGAACUCGCUGUGAAGAUGCAGUGUACCCGCGGCAAGACGGAAAGACCCCGUGAACCUUUACUAUAGCUUGACACUGAACAUUGAGCCUUGAUGUGUAGGAUAGGUGGGAGGCUUUGAAGCGUGGACGCCAGUCUGCGUGGAGCCAACCUUGAAAUACCACCCUUUAAUGUUUGAUGUUCUAACGUUGGCCCCUGACCGGGGUUGCGGACAGUGUCUGGUGGGUAGUUUGACUGGGGCGGUCUCCUCCCAAAGCGUAACGGAGGAGCACGAAGGUUAGCUAAUCCUGGUCGGACAUCAGGAGGUUAGUGCAAUGGCAUAAGCUAGCUUGACUGCGAGCGUGACGGCGCGAGCAGGUGCGAAAGCAGGUCAUAGUGAUCCGGUGGUUCUGAAUGGAAGGGCCAUCGCUCAACGGAUAAAAGGUACUCCGGGGAUAACAGGCUGAUACCGCCCAAGAGUUCAUAUCGACGGCGGUGUUUGGCACCUCGAUGUCGGCUCAUCACAUCCUGGGGCUGAAGUAGGUCCCAAGGGUAUGGCUGUUCGCCAUUUAAAGUGGUACGCGAGCUGGGUUUAGAACGUCGUGAGACAGUUCGGUCCCUAUCUGCCGUGGGCGCUGGAGAAUUGAGGGGGGCUGCUCCUAGUACGAGAGGACCGGAGUGGACGCAUCACUGGUGUUCGGGUUGUCAUGCCAAUGGCACUGCCCGGUAGCUAAAUGCGGAAGAGAUAAGUGCUGAAAGCAUCUAAGCACGAAACUUGCCCCGAGAUGAGUUCUCCCUGAGACUAUAAGUCUCCUGAAGGAACGUUGAAGACGACGACGUUGAUAGGCCGGGUGUGUAAGCGCAGCGAUGCGUUGAGCUAACCGGUACUAAUGAACCGUGAGGCUUAACCUUACAACGCCGAAG